Non-coding RNA from Dictyocaulus viviparus (bovine lungworm), 73 nucleotides. The record is from Rfam. Lineage: Eukaryota; Metazoa; Nematoda; Chromadorea; Rhabditida; Metastrongylidae.
GCCUCGGUAGUGUAAUGGAUAAGCACGGCAGACCAGAUAUCUGUAAGUGCGGGUUCGAGUUCCGUCCGAGGUU